This is a non-coding RNA of Lingula anatina, 73 nucleotides long. NCBI's taxonomy places the organism in Eukaryota, Metazoa, Brachiopoda, Lingulata, Lingulida, Lingulidae. The record is from Rfam.
GACCCGGUGGCCUAAUGGAUAAGGCGUCUGACUUCGAAUCAGAAAAUUGCGAGUUCGAGUCUCGUCCGGGUCG